GAUGUUGGGUUAAGUCCCGCAACGAGCGCAACCCUUGUCAUUAGUUGCUACAUUUAGUUGGGCACUCUAGUGAGACUGCCGGUGACAAACCGGAGGAAGGUGGGGAUGACGUCAAGUCCUCAUGGCCCUUACGGGCUGGGCUACACACGUGCUACAAUGGCGGUGACAGUGGGACGCCAGGUCGCAAGGCCGAGCCGAUCCCCAAAAGCCGUCUCAGUUCGGAUUGCACUCUGCAACUCGAGUGCAUGAAGGCGGAAUCGCUAGUAAUCGUGGAUCAGCAUGCCACGGUGAAUACGUUCCCGGGCCUUGUACACACCGCCCGUCACGUCACGAAAGUCGGUAACACCCGAAGCCAGUGGCCCAACCCCUUGUGGGGGGGAGCUGUCGAAGGUGGGAUCGGCGAUUGGGACGAAGUCGUAACAAGGUAGCCGUACCGGAAGGUGCGGCUGGAUCACCUCCUU
Molecule: ribosomal RNA, 461 nt
Filed under: Pycnococcus provasolii
Lineage: Eukaryota; Viridiplantae; Chlorophyta; Pseudoscourfieldiophyceae; Pseudoscourfieldiales; Pycnococcaceae
Description: partial Bacterial small subunit ribosomal RNA
Rfam family: Bacterial small subunit ribosomal RNA
Source: RNAcentral